UUCUUCACCCCUUUUAGAUUUUUUUUUCACUGGGCUUGCUAUCCACCAAUCCAGCAGCCUAGCCCUCCGGCAAGCCCCAGGAUCCUCCUGUCUUUGUCUGCUCAGCACUGAGACAACAGGACCACGUUGCCAUGUCUGGGGCUUCAACUGGGUUCUGGGAAUUGAACUUGGGUCCCUGUGCUUGCUGGACUUGGCCUCUCCCAGCCAAUGACUGAGUGUGGAAAGACCUGAGGGUCCUGAGAGGGACCAGACUCUGCUGACGGCUGGCCUGGCUCUGCAGAUUCCUCAGUCAUCUUGAGCCUGGACUCCACGGCAGUUGCAAAGAUCUGGCCUCCCCAGCUCUCCACCCCUAGAGAGAAUUCAUCAUGCUGAGGAAUGCAGGUUACCUGUGUCCAUCCAGUGAAGAAAAUAUGCAUCUUUCCUGUCUUUGCUUUAAGAGCCUUGCCAUGCUAAUCUUCCGUCUCUCCCCAACAAGAGCUCGCAUCCAGUCGGAAUGCUAAAUAAUGUUGUCAUGAGGUUGCAUGGGCACUGGGUAAGAUCUAUGCCUAAACUAUAAUGAAUCUCUCUUCUACAUUACUGUUAUGUGGCCAAAAUUGGUGAGCAGCCCAUCCUCCAGGGAGCAGUGGGAGGAGAGGAGAAUAUUGUGUUGGACUGUAUCCUGGACAUAUCUUCGGCUAGACUCCUGGAGCAGCUUAAAUCAAGGGCUGGGCCGAGCAGGCUUGAAUGGCUUUCAAGUGACAGAUUUAUGGAGGCAGGCCUAAUUAGAUCAUGGUAAUUUGUACUAUGACAAUAUCUUUCGCUCAAGAUCUCAAAGCAAAUUUCUGCCUUGAUAGGUGAACAGCACAAAGGCUCACAAAUGGCAAAGGAUCUUCUUAUUAUCACAGAAAAAAGAAAACACCCGUGGGCAGCCCCAGUGAGAGCUAAUCUUGCAUUUAUAAAACUUUUAUUAAAUGCUUAUUUACAAAGCAUGU
Molecule: non-coding RNA, 971 nt
Organism: Myodes glareolus (Bank vole)
Lineage: Eukaryota; Metazoa; Chordata; Mammalia; Rodentia; Cricetidae
Source: RefSeq, a predicted model, not a curated record